AUGCUCAUCACAUUUUUAUAUAUGUGCACCAUAGUUAAAGUUUGCAAAUAUUAUUGCGCAAAAGCAGUCUGUUCCUUGCACCUGUUUUGCAAGCUGGAUUAUUCAAAGAAUAUAUACAAAGAUGGAAAAGGCAGUCGUGUCAGAUUAAUGUGGGGAGGGCAAUAUUGGGGAGGAGGUGUUGUCGCCAACCUCACGUUGAUGUGCGGUACUUGCGCCUCUCUGCUUCAUAUGGACAUAAGGCACCAAACUAGAACAUUUCCAUCAUGUUAUUUGGUGUUUAGAAAGUGUUUAUCUGUAAGCUACAUUAAUACACUAGUAGUCCCACAACGUUUUGCAUAUGAAUAG
This 345-nucleotide ribosomal RNA is filed under the name Triticum aestivum (bread wheat). RNAcentral's name for it is "partial small subunit ribosomal RNA". Lineage: Eukaryota; Viridiplantae; Streptophyta; Magnoliopsida; Poales; Poaceae. The record is from RNAcentral.